RNAcentral lists this long non-coding RNA (8500 nucleotides) under Capsicum annuum. Its description in RNAcentral is "long non-coding RNA (CANN_LNC009382)". Lineage: Eukaryota; Viridiplantae; Streptophyta; Magnoliopsida; Solanales; Solanaceae. The record is from RNAcentral.
CCCAUUUCACCUGUCCUAAACUAUUUUUCGAGCCUUUGGCUCGAGUAUUGCCCCACCUAUAUUAAAUACAACUUUGGCUUCGAGGACGAAAUAAAUAAAUAAAUAAAUGACUAAAUGAAUAAAUAAAAAGAAGACAAUAAUAAAAAUUGAGACUUUUCAAGUCUUUUAGUGACCUCAUCAAUGGGUUUUGACCCAUUUUCCUUCUUUGUCUAUCUUCUAGCACCCGCACGCCAUAUAGUGGACCUUGGGUUUAAACUUCAAACUUGACUUGAAGGGGUGAGCCUUAUUUACCCAUUACGAAAUGCAGGAAAAGAGGAGUCCAGUUAGACUCGAGAUAUUUUUUGCAUACAAAGAAAAGAUAAAGAAAUUAAUAUAUGUUCAAGGCAUAAAAGUGACAUAUUUCAAAGUAAAAUAAACUAUCAAGAACCAAUUUUUGAAUGACAAUGAUAAGCACACUUGCACAAGAAUGAGAGUCAACAAAUAAAAAAUGCAAACCAAAAGUUUCACAAUCAUACUAUGCAUGAGUCAAAAAUAUCUAAAUAAUUUUAUUUAGCCACAAAAGUUCGAACUUUCUUAUCAUUUUGAAAAGACAACAUGCGAACAAAGAAGAAUANNNNNNNNNNNNNNNNNNNNNNNNNNNNNNNNNNNNNNNNNNNNNNNNNNNNNNNNNNNNNNNNNNNNNNNNNNNNNNNNNNNNNNNNNNNNNNNNNNNNNNNNNNNNNNNNNNNNNNNNNNNNNNNNNNNNNNNNNNNNNNNNNNNNNNNNNNNNNNNNNNNNNNNNNNNNNNNNNNNNNNNNNNNNNNNNNNNNNNNNNNNNNNNNNNNNNNNNNNNNNNNNNNNNNNNNNNNNNNNNNNNNNNNNNNNNNNNNNNNNNNNNNNNNNNNNNNNNNNNNNNAAAUAAUCAAAGAAUAAGGUGAAAAGGCAAAACAUUCAACAUUAACUAUUCUUCUAAACAUAAAGAUAAUAACUUUACAUACUAAAAACAAAGGUAUCCAACAACAAUGAGUUUAAAAAAAGCAUAAAUACAUCUUUUAAGCAAAGAUUGAAACUUUAUCUAAAAUAAUCAAAGAAUAAUGUCAAAAAAGGCACAUACAACUAUUGCUAGCUCAUUUUUAUAUCAUGAACAUGAAAAUAAUUAGAAUAUCAAUUCCACAACAUCCUAGGGCCUUCAAGGUCAUCUAUAACAUUCAAUCCCAACAAAUAAAAUUAUAUCUAUGAACUACGAAGAAGAAAAAAGAUGAAGAGAAAAACGAUAAUAAAAACUAAAAUAAUAAAAAAAAAAAAAAAAGAGAAAAAAAAGGUGUUUUUACCUUUUGGGGGCAGCAAAACAAAACUACGAGUUUCGUUGGAAUCAACCACCACCGAAAAACAUCGCCGGCAACUCAAAAAUUUUGAUUAGCCGAUCAACAUUAUGAAACAAAAAUUUUUACUAAAUAAAAAUAACUAUUUUUGUUCAAAAGGAUUUUCUUUCCCCUUUCUAGCCUUUUUUUUCUUCCUUCUCCUUCCUCUCUCUACCAAAGUAGUGGUAGUAUUUAUAGGAGAGAAUGGGGUAUUUUUUUUUCCUUUUCCACCAAUGUGGGAGAAAAGUAUUUAUAGAAAAGGAUAGAGAUUUAUUUCUUGUCAUCUAUCAAUGUAGGAGAAAAAGCAUUUAGGGGAGUUUUUGGAAUAUAAAAGUUAAAGAUAAGGUGAGGCGGAAGAUAAUGUGGGGAGAAAUAGUACAAUGUAGUACAAUCUUUGAAUUUCAAAAUUGCAAAAGGAUAAAGUUGGGGGAAAUAGUACAAUUUGACUUUAUUUUUUGGUGGGAAUUGGGUAAAAAUUAUGAGAGUUUUUGAGAAUUUUGGUGUUAUUUAAAAUAUAACCCCAAUUGGAAUUUAAAAUUUAGCCAUAUUUAUUUAUUUUGACCAAAUUAAAAAUUAAUUGACGAAUUACAUUGCAAUUAUGACCAAUUUUUAAUUAUGGUCAAAUCUAAUAGAUUGGCUAAAUUAAAUUAAAAUUCGAUAAGAAUUAAUACCUUUUUUUUAAUCCCGAGCUUCUUGAUUUAAUAAAAUGAAUGCAUAUUUAUCCAAAUAAAUUAUUUUUGAGAAUAAAUUAUAUUUAAAUUAAGAUUUUAAUCAUUUGAAUUUAUUUUCAAGAUAAGCCUUAAUUAAAUCCAAUAUUUUGUAAAAUAAAUAUUUAAGUAACAAAUUAUAUAAUCUCUUAUAACUGAACACGAUAGUAUAUAAUCGCUACUUAAAAUGAUAAAAUCACGUACGAAAAAUAUUUUAAGUUUUUUUCUUUUAUUUGGAUGAAAUAAUUAUUUUGGUUUAUUAAAAACUGAAGAAACUUAAGAUUAAAUUUAGUCGUAGAGAUCAAAAAUUAGGUGUCAACAAUGUCCAAUGGAGUCAUCGCCUUCCUAGUUAACCACCUCUUUUUCCCCUAGAUUAGGCUUCUUUGAUUCUCGAACUCUUUGACUCUUCUGUUGACUGCUCUAAGGCUACCAUUAUUUUGCUUCUUGACAUGACAUGACAAUGGCAGGUUUUAAGUUACUGUUAUACAACGGGCGAUGAGUCAUGAGUGGAGUGGAGGUCCAAUUCAAUAAUGUUUCCUCCAAUUAAUCUUCCAUGAUUCCUAUUGUCUUGAAAAAUUCUUCCCUCACAUUUUUCCUUAUUCCAUCCUCAAAACUAUCGCUUACAGCUUUGAAAAAUGAUUGGUAGAAUCUAGUUUUACUACUAGUCAUUUUUCUUUUCCUGUAACAAAGCUAUAGUCAAGAAGCGAAUCUCUCAUUCAUUUUUAUCUGGUGAAGUAGGGUCAUUUUGUGCCAACACAGAGUAGUUUAUAUUACCUGCAAAGUAAAAAUAACUCAAACGAUGACGUGUUAGAUUCUGUUAGUAAUAAGUAAAGCAAAAUGAUAACGUAGGAAGUAAACACAUAGAGUUGUUUCUCAUCUCAUGCGAAUUGAUCCAUGAAAUAAUAAUGACUCGAGGAGUUCAAUGAACAAGAUUUUGCUCAAUGAUAUGAAUAGGUGGAAUUUGUCGAGAAGGUUCAACUCUUCUUCUUCCUUCAAGAAAGUGGAGGACAACAGAGCUUUUGGAGAUAUGGGUCGGGCUGAAAGACUGCCUACGUAUCUCGCAGAUGAGAAAUCAGGCCCUACGCAGUUCAAAACUAGAACAGUUUUUUUUAUUCUAAAGUCAACUUUCCUAAAAUGGUAGCGAUCAUUUUGAAAGUUUUAAGAAUGACUACGGACUUUUCUAAGAAAUUUAGGAGACUUGGAGUACUUUUAGUCAGACUUUUGUAUAGUAAGGUAUAUUUCUGCCUAGAGAUAUUCUAUGGAAAAUGGGAUUAGAUUAGUUCACCUUUGAUUCGAAUAAACAUAACACGUAUAAGCAUAUAAAUAGUUAUAUUACACAAGCAUAUUGUAAUAAUCGUGCAUCCUAAUUAGGUGACCCUUUUGAGCCAAGGAUUUGGGCCUAACAAAUUUUGAAGAAAAAAUAUAUGUUUGCUUAAGGUCAAUCCAUUAUCCCCAAACUUUUAUAGACACUAAAAGGGCAUAAAUGCCUACAAAAGAUGACGAAAGAGGGAAACAAUCUUUAGGGAAAGGGAAAUAACAUGAAAAAAGAUACGUUCCCACACGGGAUAAAAAAUACUAAUUCCUGAGUGCUACUUCUAUCAGUCUUCCCCUUCUUAGCUUCAUCCAUUUCUUAUAUUGGUGACAUACAUUGAUGUUCAAACUGUACCUUAAAUGCAACCUCCCAAAUAGUUCAAUUUUUUGCUUAACUUGCUUCAAUUCUUCUUACAAAAGUAAGCAAAUCAAGUUAUUUCCCAACUCCCAAAAGAUAAUGGGCUGAAAUAGACAAGCAUACAUUUUCUUCUACACAUAAAUAUGGUUCGUCUAUAAUUGACUCGGAGUCAAUAGACGCAGGGCAGGUUUUCUAAUGGGCCCAAUACCUCGCUUGGGUAUUGGAUCAUCUGUAACAACCCGUAUUCAAGUAAUAUAUUGGCGUAUUCAAGUACGUGUAUUGGUCUUAUUUAUAUGAAAUUAAUUUUAUUUUAUUUUAUUUAUACCGGAAUUUGCCCGUCGAUGGUUCCAUACGAAGGUUAUUGAAUAAGCUUUCCAACGAUAUAAAGAUUUCCAAAAACGAAUAGGUUUCGGAUAUAAUCGAGCACGUUCGAAACUAUAAAACGGUGGCCGGGAUAUUGGGAAUAGUAAAUGUGCAGGAAAAUUUCCUGCACACAAACUACUGAGGUCAGCCAUUUUUUUGGGUCAACUUUGAACGAUCAUAACUACCUUAAUAUAAUGAACUGGGAGAGCUUCCACCUAUGAAAAGAAAGAUCUUUGAGUCUUCUUUCCAAUGCAAUUGGUUUCAUCCAAAUCCGACAUCUGAGUAAUGAGUUAUACUCGUUUUACUUCAGCCUCUCAAAACAGAUUUUUAAGAUCAACUUCAAACAAUCAUAACUCCUUGUACAGGACGAACUGGGUGGCCUAAUUUAUAUGAAAUGAAAUCCCUUUGAAUUAUCUUUCCAACGAUACCAAUUUCACCCAAAUAUGAUAUCGGAGGAAAGAGUUAUGGUCGAUUUACUUUAGCCUAUCAAAACAGUCCACCAUGGACAGAUUCGGAUUUACUUAAAUUUUAAGGGCAAUAUGGUCAUUUUCCAUCACCUCAUGGACGAAAAUUGGUCAUUAUAUACAUAUACUUAGCCUCAUAUCCAUCAUUUAUCAUCCAAAUUAUUGAAGAAUAAGAAACCCUAGCCUAAGUUCAACUCCAAUUAUCUUGUGAUUCAACCGUAGAAAAUCCAAAUUGAUUCCGUAGUUGUGUUCACCGUCUCGAGGGCUUCGAGAAGCACCCCUUAUUUGUGCCAACAGGACUUCGAAAUCAAAAGGGCCAUUUUAUAGUAAGGAUGUCAAUUAUGUUGGUGUUAUUUAUAUGGAUAUGUAUAUAUAUAUAUAUAUGCAUGUGCGCAUAAGAAGUAUGUUAUUUGAUUGUUGUUGAAAGAUGAUUGAAAAUGAUGUUGGAUUAUUCUUGUGCAUAGUUGGAUUAUGUUGAAUUGUGAAGGAAUUUGGUGUGAUGAUAUGGUAUUGAAAUGAUGAUUAUAUAUAUAUAUAUACACCUAAACCGAUUGUUCAAGUUAAUUUUUGAAAUGCUUUGCAAAUAUUGAUUGUAUGGAAUUAUGGAAGAGAAUUGUGGUGUUGGGUUGCUAAUACUAGAUGCCAAACAUUUCAUUGUAGAUAAGUGAUUUAUAAAGGCGGGAAGUUGUGUUGAAUUAGUAUCCGAAUCUACAACGAGGUAUGUAAAGCAUACUCUAACGAUGUUCUUUGGCAUGAAAACACCAAUGUUCCAUCAAGUAAGAUUCCGAGGUUGUCCAAAAACAUGUAUUGUUCUACAUUACCAACGAAGUUGUUUCCAUUCUAUAAAGUGUCAAAAUGUUUCAUUGAUAUACCGAAAGGCUCCUAUUUCAUUGUUGUGAUAUUGAUGAUUCCGAAACACAUUGUUGAUGUACCAAUGAGUCUUUAUUACAUCGUUAUUGUAUAGAAAGUCUAUUACUUGGUUCCUAUUGAUGUAUCAUUAUUCCAAAGGUACUAUAUUGGCAUGAACACUAAUGUAAUAAUCUCAAAAGCUUUUGAACUAAGUUAUUGGAAAGAUCUCUUAUGUGUGUUACUUGAUAUACGUGUGGGUGGUAGCUCAGGGGCUUAAGCCUAGCAUGGGCCGAUCCCGAUAUUUGAUAUGAUUACAGUUGAUAUGUACUGGGGGCAGCCUAAUGGUCACAGUACGGUACAGUAUUGAUUAUUGUUAGGUGGUUGGAGGUUCGGGAGGAGGAGGUAAUGGCGAAUGAUAAUUGUAAAGAAUGAAAUGAACGAAUGUAUACCGUUCCACAAAUGUGUUUGAAUUCAAGAACCCAAUUCAGAUUAAUGAUAAGAUAAUGUACAUGAUCCUAAAAGUGUUUAUGAAGUGUGGUUCACUUCUAUUAUGAUUUAUUCACUUGCGUCUGAUUUUCUUGAUCCCCCAUACCACAUAUGAUUAUUUACAGCUUUACAUACUCAGUACAUAUUUCGUACUGACGUCCCUCACGGGGGACCUGCAUUUCAUGCUGCAGGCACAGGUGCUUCAGCUCAUUCACAGCAUAGAUAGGAGCCAGGUCAUACAUCUAUUGUUGGUGAGCUCCAAUUUGCUUCGGAGCUUUCCGAGUCGGUCCCUUAUGUUUUCUUAUUGUACAGGAGUCAUGUGUCGGCGAGGGUUUGUCCCGACCCUAAUUAUGUCAUGUAUAUCCUAGAGGCUUUGUAGACAUAAGAAAGGGUAAAGUCAUGGAAGUUCAUAUAGUGAUGUUAUAUUUUUAUAUGUGGUGGCCCCGACGGCCAAGUAUUAUAUACAUAUAUAUUUGUGCGUGUUGUGCUGAUACAGGUAAUUAGACCCUUCUAUAUGCAACGAAGUGCUGGCCAAAUUUUUGGUGACAUGAAAGUGAAAGUACAGGUAUUUAAACGGGUUCUCCCGGGCCUUCUCGGCUUCGGGUGCCAGUCCGGCCCNNNNNNNNNNNNNNNNNNNNNNNNNNNNNNNNNNNNNNNNNNNNNNNNNNNNNNNNNNNNUUGUGUGUGUUGUGCUGAUACAGGUAAUUAGACUCUUCUAUAUGCAACGAAGUGCUGUCCAAAUUUUUAGUGACAUGUAAGUGAAGGUACAGGUAUUUGAACGGAUUCUUCCGGGCCUUCUCGGCUUCGGGUGCCAGUCCGGCCCGAUAGGAUUUUGGGGCGUGACAUCAUCCUAGGCUUAUGCCUAAUAUAGGACUUUGGUUUCAUUCUAUCCUAAAUGUCUAGAGUAGGUUUGAACAUUGGUUCUCAAGCGGACAACUUGAGUUUGAAAAUACGAACAGCCAUUAGACGACUCAUGUGCUAAUAAGCCGUUCGCAUUUCCAACACAUUUUGAAAUUGAACAACGGGGGCCAGGACAUCCACGAAACCCCAAAACAGUUUAAAUAAUGCAGGAAUAUGCCAUGAGAUGCGAUAGUUAAACUUUACAGAAUCGAAACAUAUAAACACAUAAACAGUUAAUCAAAAGACGAAAUCAAACAUUUGGUUAGAACCUAGUUACAAAUCCCUAGCAGAGUCGUCAUUUCUGUUUUGUUGAGAAAUUUAGACUUUUUGAGAAGAGUCGCCACUUAAUUUUGAAGAAAAAUUAAAAAAACCUUUAUAGAAUUACUUCAAAUGAUUCAAAACAGAAAAAUCAUUUUAAAUUAGAAAUUCUAGAUAAGCGGCUCCUAUUAACGUUUUAAGAAGAUGUUAGGCAACUAAAAUGUCCGCAAACUUGCAGUUAUUCGGACUAUUUGAAAACAUCUUUUGAUUAACUUCCGAAAAGAUUAAUUUGUUGAAAUAGUGAUUUGAUUUAAAAAAAAAAGAUUUGUGUAAAAUAGAUUUAGGCGACUUAAUAGAGAUUUUAACUAAGUCUAAACAAAACUAAUAAACAAAUAAACACAUAAAAGGGGAAGUGAGGAGAAAGUAAAGGAUUUAGGCCAUUGAGCCCAAAUCAACUAGACCUAUCCUAGUCUAGUUGAGAUUCCGACCCAUUUCACCUGUCCUAAACUAUUUUUCGAGCCUUUGGCUCGAGUCUUGCUCCACCUAUAUUAAAUACAACUUUGGCUUCGAGACCGAAAUAAAUGAAUAAAUAAAUGACUAAAUGAAUGAAUAAAAAGAAGACUAAUAAAAAUUGAGACUUUUCAAGUCUCUUAAUGACCUUGUCAAUGGAUUUUGACCCAUUUUCCUUCUUCGUCUAUCUUCUAGCACCCGCAUGCCAUGUACUGAACCUCGGGUUUAAACUUCGAACUUGACUCGAAGGGGUAGACCUCAUUGGCCCAUUACGGAAAUGCAAAAUGAGAGGAAUCCAUUUGGACUCGAGACAUUUUUUUUUUGCAUGCAAAGAAAAGAUAAAGAAAUUAAUAUACGUUCAAGGCAUAAAAGUGACAUAUUUCAAAGCAAAAGAAAAUAUCAAGAACCAAUUUUGAAUGAUAAGCACACUUGCACAAAAAAAAGAGUCAACAAAUAAAAUGCAAAGCAAAGACACCCACUUACAUGCCUCAUGAUUUAUGUUCAUACAAGAAUGAAUAAAGGUAAAAGAAAGAAGGCCAUAUUCAAUAAAUUAAUGCAAGAAACAAACAACGUAAGCUUGCGAAAGUAAAAGGAUAAGGCAACGAGGAAAAUACUCAUGACUUCUAAAAUUGAACAAACAUAGAUACCAAUCCAUAUAACCAAAGAAAAUAAAGGUUAACUUUUCAAGCAAGAGAAUCUUUAAAUUUCAAUUAAGGUGACAUUAACGAAAAUUCAUACAUCUAAAUUCUUUUAUAUUAUGAAUCAAUGAGAGACACGAAUCAAGUCUUUACACUCACAAAGAGCACAUAUGAUAAUCCAAAGGGCGCAAGAAAAUUAGAAUAAAAUUUAGCAUUUCUAAAAGUGAAAUAUUGUUUCACAAUCAUAAAAUGCAUGACUCAAAAAUAUCUAAAUAAUUCUAUUUAGCCACAAAAAUUUGAACUUUCUCAUCAUNNN